AACAGUUGAAAAAUGGAAUUGACUUUCACUCCUCCAGGUCCAGAAGGAUUCUAAUACACAAACCAUAAGCAAGAGUUGUUUCUGUUGUUUUGUCCACAGAACAGAAGCUGAAAAAGCAUAUUGCUUGCAUUUCAGGUGUUAACUGAAGCAAUUCGAAUAUGUCCAGAUUCAUUUGGAUUCAUAUUUACAUUGAAAAAACUCAACUAAGCAUUUGUUAUCCACAACAACCUAGAGUUUAAAAAGAUCGUAUUUUCACCUGUCUUCAUUACUUGCUAUGUAGUUUCAUUCUUUGUCGCGGUAACUUAAAUUUGAAAUUGGAAGAAUCUCUUGGGAUAGAAGAAAGAUUCUUACCUGGUGAUGGACUUCAUCCUUCAUCCUGUGUAAGAGUAUUAUGGGAAGUAGAAAUUCACUUCCUUAAAUCCAUCAUAAGAUUGAGCCUCA
RNAcentral lists this small RNA (441 nucleotides) under Pongo abelii (Sumatran orangutan). RNAcentral's name for it is "3prime overlapping ncRNA". Lineage: Eukaryota; Metazoa; Chordata; Mammalia; Primates; Hominidae. The record is from RNAcentral.